Molecule: long non-coding RNA, 405 nt
Filed under: Vigna radiata
Lineage: Eukaryota; Viridiplantae; Streptophyta; Magnoliopsida; Fabales; Fabaceae
Description: long non-coding RNA (VRAD_LNC006176)
Source: RNAcentral
ACGGGGAUGAAACUGGGAAAACUUUACAUAAAUUGGGACCUUUGAAGGGGUGUAACCAAAGAGAAAAUGUUGAGAUGUCUUCUUGCAUUAUUAAUUAAAAGUGUUUUGUUGGAUUAUUAAUUGAAAAGUUUGGAGUAGAGGAUAACGUGUUGGUGCUCAAAAUUCUUGAACCAAGAAUAAUAGUAAAAAGAAUUAAUAUGUUUUAUUAUUUUUCCUGGUCAAGAGUAUAAGAUUUUAUUUAUAGUGGUGAUAAGUUACUCAAGGUUGAUCGUUUCUGCUUGUGGAUUGAUUAUUAUGUUAUGAUAUGACUUUGUAUUUUGAAAAGUUAAGGGAUACUAUUAAGACAUAGAAUGAUGUAAUUGAGUAUGAUUUGGAAAUCUCAAAGUGAGAUGAUUGAAUGUGAUU